AUCUUGCUUCUUCUGUGACAUCAUGGCCCCUGCCUCUUUGGAUACUCUAAGAUGUCAAAUUGACUGAGGAUGACUCCUGAGGACCCUUUGAGAUGAUUACCAUCGUUGUAGGUAUAGCUUGAUGUAUUCUUGUGUUUAUGAACGCAGAGGUGUUUAGAAACACUACUGGGAAUAUUCUCUAACUUUCAGGUGGAACCAGAAAAGAGAAAAUUUCUGUUCUUCUGAUCAUUUGUCAAAUUCAGCUCGAAACAGGAUCUUGAGUACAGAACAUUUUUCCUGGUUGCUGCAUAGCUCAGUUAAUCUGUAUACCAUAGGAGUGUGUUAUUGAGAGCAUUUGCAGAAGGGUGAAACCAGGAGCUCAUGGCUCAAGUAGGAAAAAGUUUCAUUAUUUGCAGAGCAAGAGAAUGAAACUCCUGAGACCUGAAUUUCAGGGCUCCUUGAAAUGAUGGAUGCAUUCUUUUACCUUGAUGGAGAAAAAGAACAUAAUAAAAUCGAGAAAGUA
This 502-nucleotide small RNA is filed under the name Pongo abelii (Sumatran orangutan). RNAcentral's name for it is "sense intronic". The record is from RNAcentral. Lineage: Eukaryota; Metazoa; Chordata; Mammalia; Primates; Hominidae.